RNAcentral lists this ribosomal RNA (494 nucleotides) under uncultured bacterium. RNAcentral describes it as "partial 16S ribosomal RNA". It matches the Rfam family "Bacterial small subunit ribosomal RNA", at positions 29 to 505 of the family's 1533-position model. The record is from RNAcentral.
AUGCACGCUGGCGGCGUGCCUAAUACAUGCCAGUCGAGCGAACGGACGAGAAGCUUGCUUCUCUGAUGUUAGCGGCGGACGGGUGAGUAACACGUGGAUAACCUACCUAUAAGACUGGGAUAACUUCGGGAAACCGGAGCUAAUACCGGAUAAUAUUUUGAACCGCAUGGUUCAAAAGUGAAAGACGGUCUUGCUGUCACUUAUAGAUGGAUCCGCGCUGCAUUAGCUAGUUGGUAAGGUAACGGCUUACCAAGGCAACGAUGCAUAGCCGACCUGAGAGGGUGAUCGGCCACACUGGAACUGAGACACGGUCCAGACUCCUACGGGAGGCAGCAGUAGGGAAUCUUCCGCAAUGGGCGAAAGCCUGACGGAGCAACGCCGCGUGAGUGAUGAAGGUCUUCGGAUCGUAAAACUCUGUUAUUAGGGAAGAACAUAUGUGUAAGUAACUGUGCACAUCUUGACGGUACCUAAUCAGAAAGCCACGGCUAACUACG